UACAGAGGUCUCGAGCGUUAGGCGGAAUCACUGGGCUUAAAGCGUGUGUAGGUGGAUGCCUAAGUACCUUGUGAAAUCCCACGGCUUAACCGUGGAACUGCUUGGUAUACUGGGUGUCUUGAGUCACUCAGGGGCGGGCGGAACAAAUGGUGGAGCGGUGAAAUGCGUAGAUAUCAUUUGGGACGCCAAUGGUGAAAACAGCUCGCUGGGGGUGCACUGACACUGAGACACGAAAGCCAGGGGAGCGAACGGG
This 253-nucleotide ribosomal RNA is filed under the name uncultured bacterium. Its description in RNAcentral is "partial 16S ribosomal RNA". It matches the Rfam family "Bacterial small subunit ribosomal RNA", at positions 524 to 776 of the family's 1533-position model. The record is from RNAcentral.